CCUACGGGGGGCAGCAGUGGGGAAUAUUGGACAAUGGGGGCAACCCUGAUCCAGCAAUUCUGUGUGCACGAGGAAGGUUUUCGGAUUGUAAAGUGCUUUCAGCAGGGAAGAAGGAAGUGACGGUACCUGCAGAAGAAGCGACGGCUAAAUACGUGCCAGCAGCCGCGGUAAUACGUAUGUCGCAAGCGUUAUCCGGAAUUAUUGGGCAUAAAGGGCAUCUAGGCGGCCAGGCAAGUCUGGGGUGAAAACUUGCGGCUCAACCGCAAGCCUGCCCUGGAAACUGCCUGGCUAGAGUGCUGGAGAGGUGGACGGAACUGCACGAGUAGAGGUGAAAUUCGUAGAUAUGUGCAGGAAUGCCGAUGAUGAAGAUAGUUCACUGGACGGCAACUGACGCUGAAGUGCGAAAGCUGG
Molecule: ribosomal RNA, 411 nt
Filed under: uncultured Porphyromonas sp.
Lineage: Bacteria; Pseudomonadati; Bacteroidota; Bacteroidia; Bacteroidales; Porphyromonadaceae
Description: bacterial SSU rRNA
Rfam family: Bacterial small subunit ribosomal RNA
Source: RNAcentral